AGAAAGGAAAGAAAGGAAAGAAAGGGAAGAAAGGAAAGAAAGGAAAAAGGCGCUGAAGUCCAGGAUGAGAUCGACGUAAUAUGAAACAAUACUUCGGCAAUUAAUUUUUUCUUUCCUUUAAACCAGGCCUUUAAGAACAGUUUCAAGAGAAUUCAAGAUUUUCAGGCUUUAGGAGUAAAAAUAUGAGUUAUGUCAAUACAUAACUUGUAGUUCACUAAUAUUUCGCAUAAAUAAGAGUGCAUUCUUUUGAAAGAUCUGAGCGUUAGCCCGUAUGCUUAAAUAUCAAUCGUUUCUUGUAAUUAUCCGUUCACCUCUAUAAUAAGAGACUAGCAUCUACUUUCUCCUCACAAUAUCACCCUGAUCACGUGCACGCAUUAAGGUCACAAGAAUAAAGAGACAACCACCAA
Molecule: long non-coding RNA, 407 nt
Organism: Stylophora pistillata
Lineage: Eukaryota; Metazoa; Cnidaria; Anthozoa; Scleractinia; Pocilloporidae
Source: RefSeq, a predicted model, not a curated record